RNAcentral lists this non-coding RNA (24 nucleotides) under Arabidopsis thaliana (thale cress). The record is from RNAcentral. Lineage: Eukaryota; Viridiplantae; Streptophyta; Magnoliopsida; Brassicales; Brassicaceae.
AAGCGGAUUAAGUAGUGCGAUGCG